UCCGAAGGGUGCGAUCGUGACGCGGAAUUACUGGGCGUAAAGCGUGCGCAGGCGGAUUGUUAAGCAAGACGUGAAAUCCCCGGGCUUAACCUGGGAAUGGCGUUUUGAACUGGCAGUCUAGAGUGUGUCAGAGGGGGGUAGAAUUCCACGUGUAGCAGUGAAAUGCGUAGAGAUGUGGAGGAAUACCAAUGGCGAAGGCAGCCCCCUGGGAUAACACUGACGCUCAUGGACGAAAGCGUGGGUAGCAAACAGGAUUAGAUACCACCGUAGUCC
This 273-nucleotide ribosomal RNA is filed under the name uncultured bacterium. RNAcentral describes it as "partial 16S ribosomal RNA". It matches the Rfam family "Bacterial small subunit ribosomal RNA", at positions 524 to 796 of the family's 1533-position model. The record is from RNAcentral.